GUACACGCUGUGACUAGCAUAUCAAUAAGCGGAGGAAAAGAAACUAACAAGGAUUCCCCUAGUAACGGCGAGUGAAGCGGGAAGAGCUCAAAUUUGAAAUCUUAAAGGGUUUCCCUUUACGAAUUGUAGUUUAAAGAGGUGUUUUCUGUUGAGGUUUUGGUAAAAGUUCUUUGGAAUAGGACAUCAUAGAGGGUGAGAAUCCCGUAUUUGACCUUUACUUUCAGCUUUGUGAUACACUUUCAAAGAGUCGGAUUGUUUGGGAAUGCAGUCCAAAAUGGGUGGUAAAUUUCAUCUAAAGCUAAAUAUUGGCGAGAGACCGAUAGCGAACAAGUACCGUGAGGGAAAGAUGAAAAGAACUUUGAAAAGAGAGUUAAACAGUACGUGAAAUUGUCAAAAGGGAAGCGUUUGACACCAGUGUUGUUUUUCUGAAAAUCAAUUAAAGAACUGUUUAUGCUAAGCUGUUUAGACUUUAUCAGCUAUCUGUUUAGUUUUGAGCUUUUCUUUAAUGCACUUUUCAGUUAACAAGUCAACAUCAAUUUCUUUUGCUGUAAAAAAGCUUGAGGAAGGUGGCUUGAGAUUCGUCUUAAGUGUUUAUAGCCUCUUGCCUAUGCAGUCGGAGAGAUUGAGGUCUGCAGCGUAGAUCCUCCGGGGCUAAAUGCAUUUGUGCUAAGUUAUAACAUUUUAUAGACAACUUGUUGACUAUGAUUUGUCUUGUAGCUUACUCGCUUAUGUUAUUUUACCUACGCUUAGGAUGUUGACGCGCGUGUGUGCGUG
Molecule: ribosomal RNA, 774 nt
Filed under: uncultured Neocallimastigales
Lineage: Eukaryota; Fungi; Neocallimastigomycota; Neocallimastigomycetes; Neocallimastigales
Description: partial large subunit ribosomal RNA
Rfam family: Eukaryotic large subunit ribosomal RNA
Source: RNAcentral